CCUACGGGUGGCAGCAGUAGGGAAUAUUGGUCAAUGGGGGAAACCCUGAAGCAGCAACGCCGCGUGGAGGAUGAAGGUUCUCCGAUUGUUAACCCUCUUUGUUAGAGAAGAUAAUGACGGUACCUGUCGAAUAAGCACCGGCUAACUCCGUGCCAGCAGCGGCGGCAAUACGGCGGGUGCCAGCGUUACUCGGAAUCACUGGGCGUAAAGGGCGCGUAGGGGGGGUAGCAAGUCAGAUGGGAAAUCCUUGGGCUUAACCAUAGAACUGCAUUUGAAACUGUUAUUCUAGAGUAUGGGAGAGGUAGGUGGAAUUCUUGGUGUAGCGGUAAAAUCCGUAGAGAUCAAGAAGAAUACUGAUUGCGAAGGCGACCUGCUAGAACAUAACUGACGCUGAUGCGCGAAAGCGUGGGGAGCGAACAGGAUUAGAUACCCUAGUAGUC
RNAcentral lists this ribosomal RNA (440 nucleotides) under uncultured bacterium. RNAcentral describes it as "partial 16S ribosomal RNA". It matches the Rfam family "Bacterial small subunit ribosomal RNA", at positions 338 to 795 of the family's 1533-position model. The record is from RNAcentral.